RNAcentral lists this ribosomal RNA (726 nucleotides) under uncultured bacterium. RNAcentral describes it as "bacterial SSU rRNA". It matches the Rfam family "Bacterial small subunit ribosomal RNA", at positions 771 to 1501 of the family's 1533-position model. The record is from RNAcentral.
AACAGGAUUAGAUACCCUGCGUAGUCCACGCCCUAAACGAUGUCAACUAGUUGUCGGGUCUUAAUUGACUUGGUAACGCAGCUAACGCGUGAAGUUGACCGCCUGGGGAGUACGGUCGCAAGAUUAAAACUCAAAGGAAUUGACGGGGACCCGCACAAGCGGUGGAUGAUGUGGAUUAAUUCGAUGCAACGCGAAAAACCUUACCUACCCUUGACAUGGCAGGAAUCCUGGAGAGAUCCGGGAGUGCUCGAAAGAGAACCUGCACACAGGUGCUGCAUGGCUGUCGUCAGCUCGUGCCGUGAGACGUUGGGUUAAGUCCCGCAACGAGCGCAACCCUUGUCAUUAGUUGCUACGAAAGGGCACUCUAAUGAGACUGCCGGUGACAAACCGGAGGAAGGUGGGGAUGACGUCAAGUCCUCAUGGCCCUUAUGGGUAGGGCUUCACACGUCAUACAAUGGUACAUACAGAGGGCCGCCAACCCGCGAGGGGGAGCUAAUCCCAGAAAGUGUAUCGUAGUCCGGAUUGGAGUCUGCAACUCGACUCCAUGAAGUUGGAAUCGCUAGUAAUCGCGGAUCAGCAUGUCGCGGUGAAUACGUUCCCGGGUCUUGUACACACCGCCCGUCACACCAUGGGAGCGGGUUUUACCAGAAGUAGGUAGCUUAACCGCAAGGAGGGCGCUUACCACGGUAGGAUUCGUGACUGGGGUGAAGUCGUAACAAGGUAACC